Brassica rapa (field mustard) is the source of this 251-nucleotide long non-coding RNA. RefSeq lists it as uncharacterized. The record is from RefSeq and is a predicted model, not a curated record. NCBI's taxonomy places the organism in Eukaryota, Viridiplantae, Streptophyta, Magnoliopsida, Brassicales, Brassicaceae.
AAAACAGGAGCAAGAGAUACCAAUAUGUGUGCGCAAAUUAUAGAUCUGUAUCUCCCACAUACCUGUGAGGCCAGAUCUUGAGGUCAUCUUCAGUGGACUUCAAAAUGAGAUCAACAGAUGAUUGUUUGUUAGCAGGAGGCAGAGGGGAAGGGUCUUCAUCAAGAGACCAGAAUCUGUUGCGCGCAAACCCAUGUCGCUCAAGUCCACCAAAGUUUCCAAACUGCAAAAGAUGGCAACAGUAGUCUUGAUGG